RNAcentral lists this ribosomal RNA (397 nucleotides) under uncultured bacterium. Its description in RNAcentral is "partial 16S ribosomal RNA". It matches the Rfam family "Bacterial small subunit ribosomal RNA", at positions 523 to 918 of the family's 1533-position model. The record is from RNAcentral.
AUACGUAGGGGGCGAGCGUUGUCCGGAAUGAUUGGGCGUAAAGGGCGCGUAGGCGGCCCGGUAAGUCUGGAGUGAAAGUCCUGUUUUUAAGAUGGGAAUUGCUUUGGAUACUGUCGGGCUUGAGUGCAGGAGAGGUAAGUGGAAUUCCCAGUGUAGCGGUGAAAUGCGUAGAGAUUGGGAGGAACACCAGUGGCGAAGGCGACUUACUGGGCCGUAACUGACGCUGAGGCGCGAAAGCGUGGGGAGCGAACAGGAUUAGAUACCCUGGUAGUCCACGCGGUAAACGAGGAAUGCUAGGUGUUGCGGGUAUCGACCCCUGCAGUGCCGGAGUAAACACAAUAAGCAUUCCGCCUGGGGAGUACGGCCGCAAGGUUGAAACUCAAAGGAAUUGACGGGG